UACAGAGGUCUCAAGCGUUGUUCGGAUUCAUUGGGCGUAAAGGGUGCGUAGGCGGCGCGGUAAGUCGGGUGUGAAAUCUCGGAGCUUAACUCCGAAACUGCAUUCGAUACUGCCGUGCUUGAGGACUGGAGAGGAGACUGGAAUUUACGGUGUAGCGGUGAAAUGCGUAGAUACCGUAAGGAAGACCAGUGGCGAAGGCGGGUCUCUGGACAGUUCCUGACGCUGAGGCACGAAGGUCAGGGGAGCAAACGGG
This 253-nucleotide ribosomal RNA is filed under the name uncultured bacterium. RNAcentral's name for it is "partial 16S ribosomal RNA". It matches the Rfam family "Bacterial small subunit ribosomal RNA", at positions 524 to 776 of the family's 1533-position model. The record is from RNAcentral.